UACGGCGAAACUGCGAACGGCUCAUUAUAUAAGUUAUCGUUUAUUUGAUAGCACCUUUUUACUUGGGUAACCGUGGUAAUUCUAGAGCUAAUACAUGCUAAAAAUCCCGACUCCGGAAGGGAUGUGUUUAUUAGAUUCAAAACCAAUGCCCCCUGGGCUCCCUGGUGAAUCAUGAUAACCGCUCGAAUCGCACGGCCUUGCGCUGGCGAUGGUUCAUUCAAAUUUCUUCCCUAUCAACUUUCGAUGUUUGGGUAGUGGCCAAACAUGGUUGCAACGGGUAACGGAGGGUUAGGGCUCGACCCCGGAGAAGGAGCCUGAGAGACGGCUACUACAUCCAAGGAAGGCAGCAGGCGCGCAAAUUACCCAAUCCCGACACGGGGAGGUAGUGACAAUAAAUACCGAUAUAGGGCUCUUUUGGGUCUUAUAAUUGGAAUGAGUACAAUUUAAAUCCCUUAACGAGGAACAAUUGGAGGGCAAGUCUGGUGCCAGCAGCCGCGGUAAUUCCAGCUCCAAUAGCGUAUAUUAAAGUUGUUGUGGUUAAAAAGCUCGUAAGUUAAACANNNNNNNNNNGCUCGUAGUUGAACCUUGGGCCUGGCUGGCCGGUCCGCCUCACCGCGUGCACUGGUCCGGCCGGGCCUUUCCCUCCGCGGAACCCCAUGCCCUUCACUGGGCGUGGCGGGGAAACGGGACUUUUACUUUGAAAAAAUUAGAGUGCUCCAGGCAGGCCUAUGCUCGAAUACAUUAGCAUGGAAUAAUGGAAUAGGACGCGCGGUUCUAUUUUGUUGGUUUCUAGGACCGCCGUAAUGAUUGAUAGGGACAGUCGGGGGCGUCAGUAUUCAACCGUCAGAGGUGAAAUUCUUGGACCGGUUGAAGACUAACUACUGCGAAAGCAUUCGCCAAGGAUGUUUUCAUUAAUCAGGAACGAAAGCUAGGGGAUCGAAGACGAUCAGAUACCGUCGUAGUCUUAGCCAUAAACUAUGCCGACUAGGGAUCGGGCGAUGUUAUUCUUUGACUCGCUCGGCACCUUCCGAGAAAUCAAAGUGC
RNAcentral lists this ribosomal RNA (1044 nucleotides) under uncultured Ophiocordyceps. Its description in RNAcentral is "SSU rRNA". It matches the Rfam family "Eukaryotic small subunit ribosomal RNA", at positions 77 to 1106 of the family's 1831-position model. The record is from RNAcentral. Lineage: Eukaryota; Fungi; Ascomycota; Sordariomycetes; Hypocreales; Ophiocordycipitaceae.